Molecule: ribosomal RNA, 580 nt
Filed under: Dujonia zeylanoides
Lineage: Eukaryota; Fungi; Ascomycota; Pichiomycetes; Serinales; Debaryomycetaceae
Description: [Candida] zeylanoides partial large subunit ribosomal RNA
Rfam family: Eukaryotic large subunit ribosomal RNA
Source: RNAcentral
AAAAGAAACCAACAGGGAUUGCCUCAGUAACGGCGAGUGAAGCGGCAAAAGCUCAAAUUUGAAAUCUAGCACUUUCAGUGUUCGAGUUGUAAUUUGAAGAAGGUAACUUUGGUUUUGGCUCUUGUCUAUGUUCCUUGGAACAGGACGUCACAGAGGGUGAGAAUCCCGUGCGAUGAGAUGCCCAAUUCCAUGUAAAGUGCUUUCGAAGAGUCGAGUUGUUUGGGAAUGCAGCUCUAAGUGGGUGGUAAAUUCCAUCUAAAGCUAAAUAUUGGCGAGAGACCGAUAGCGAACAAGUACAGUGAUGGAAAGAUGAAAAGAACUUUGAAAAGAGAGUGAAAAAGUACGUGAAAUUGUUGAAAGGGAAGGGCUUGAGAUCAGACUUGGUAUUUUGCGUUCCCUUCCUUUUUGGUUGGGUUCCUCGCAGUUUACUGGGCCAGCAUCGGUUUGGAUGGUAGGAUAAUGACAUUGGAAAUGUAGCUUUACUUCGGUGAAGUGUUAUAGACUUUGUUGAUACUGCCUAUCUAGACCGAGGACUGCGUCUUUGACUAGGAUGCUGGCGUAAUGAUCUUAAGCCGCCCGU